Molecule: ribosomal RNA, 497 nt
Filed under: uncultured bacterium
Lineage: Bacteria
Description: partial 16S ribosomal RNA
Rfam family: Bacterial small subunit ribosomal RNA
Source: RNAcentral
GAUGAACGCUGGCGGCGUGCCUAAUACAUGCAAGUCGAGCGAACGGACGAGAAGCUUGCUUCUCUGAUGUUAGCGGCGGACGGGUGAGUAACACGUGGAUAACCUACCUAUAAGACUGGGAUAACUUCGGGAAACCGGAGCUAAUACCGGAUGAUAUUUUGAACCGCAUGGUUCAAAAGUGAAAGACGGUCUUGCUGUCACUUAUAGAUGGAUCCGCGCUGCAGUAGCUAGUUGGUAAGGUAACGGCUUACCAAGGCAACGAUGCAUAGCCGACCUGAGAGGGUGAUCGGCCACACUGGAACUGAGACACGGUCCAGACUCCUACGGGAGGCAGCAGUAGGGAAUCUUCCGCAAUGGGCGAAAGCCUGACGGAGCAACGCCGCGUGAGUGAUGAAGGUCUUCGGAUCGUAAAACUCUGUUAUUAGGGAAGAACAUAUGUGUAAGUAACUGUGCACAUCUUGACGGUACCUAAUCAGAAAGCCACGGCUAACUACGUG